GGUGCUAGUGCUCCUAUCACAACGAUCACCACGACCAGCACCACCAGCUCCACCGCCGCAGUGCUACUUGCCGACCUGAGUUUAAUUCGCAUAAAAGGCGACGAAUUGUCGCGGUCUGCUUCAUCUCCUUUGAUGAGCAGCCGAUCGAAGGAAAUACCCGGCCUGGACAGCCAACGGUCUAGCCACUGUCCGGUGGUACGGGAGGGUCCCGCGCUGGGUUGCAAUUUCUGCUGGAACACAAGGAGGAUACUGCGACGGAAAACCAAGUACCACUGUCCCGAGUGCCAGACGAACUUGUGCAUUGCGCCCUGCUUCCAGGAGUAUCACGAACGCCAAUCGGCGGAGAACCCUGCCCCCACCAGCAACGACAGCGGAAGCGGCUGUGUGUAUGGUGUAGGUGGAUUGUACGCAAAAGUGGAUCUCCGAUUUGUUGAGAAUCUUUACUUUUGCGGAAUUGUGUCAUUCUCUUUUUUUUUAUGGGUAAGAAUAGAACACUCAUUCAGACUAUUGCUAGGAAGAAACAUGUUUUGUAACGCUGCCUCCGGCUUGGAUCGCUCCCCCGAUCACGCUCGUCUACUCAGAUUUACCUGGACCGUUUUACUGUAUUCGGAUUUUCUUUGAAAUAAUCAACCAAGAGGCGGAAAAAGUAUACAAUUAUUAACGAAGAUGUUUUACAAAUCAAAUUCGGUAGAAAAACACACAAAUCUGAUAGAAGGCGACGAUGAUCGUAAUCCCUUUUGUCGGCGGAGUGACCGCUUGGAGGUUCAGGUCAUAUUUGUGAAAGUUUUCCCGUACAAUAUAAAAUAUUUGGACCGGCACCGGAAGUCGAACCCAGCCACCCUCAGCAUGGUCUUGCUUUGUAGCCGCGAGUCUUACCGCACGGCUAAGGAGGGCCCUUAAUUAUUACGAAUACAUAUCUUAGGAUCACUUAAAAA
Armigeres subalbatus is the source of this 935-nucleotide long non-coding RNA. RefSeq lists it as uncharacterized. The transcript is spliced from 2 exons. NCBI's taxonomy places the organism in Eukaryota, Metazoa, Arthropoda, Insecta, Diptera, Culicidae. The record is from RefSeq and is a predicted model, not a curated record.